RNAcentral lists this ribosomal RNA (414 nucleotides) under uncultured Funneliformis. RNAcentral's name for it is "partial 28S ribosomal RNA". Lineage: Eukaryota; Fungi; Glomeromycota; Glomeromycetes; Glomerales; Glomeraceae. The record is from RNAcentral.
GAGAGUUAAACAGUACGUGAAAUUGUUGAAAGGGAAACGAUUGAAGUCAGUCAUACCAACGGGAAAUCAACCUUUUGAGCUUGGUCUCGUGGGUUUUGAAGAGUUUCAAAGCCUUCGGACUCGCGGGAUUGGGAUCUCUCGGUGUACUUUCUCGUACGGUUAGUCAACAUCGGUUUUGAAUGUCAUAAAAUGACUGGAGGAAUGUAGCUUCGAUCUCGUAUUGAAGUGUUAUAGCCUUUGGUAGAUGUGAUGUUUGAGACCGAGGAUUGCAACGGAUACCCUUCAGGGCUAUUCGUCUGAUCUCUGAUACGUUGCCCUGAUGUUGAAAGCUUGCUUAUGAUGUUAGGGUAUUACGGUCAAAAGGUUAGAACGAAUUACAUUCGUUAAGGAUGUUGACGUAAUGACUUUAAACGA